Vigna unguiculata (cowpea) is the source of this 142-nucleotide small nucleolar RNA. RefSeq annotates it as small nucleolar RNA snoR136. The record is from RefSeq and is a predicted model, not a curated record. NCBI's taxonomy places the organism in Eukaryota, Viridiplantae, Streptophyta, Magnoliopsida, Fabales, Fabaceae.
AAGGCUUCAGUUUUGUUGAGACUUUUGCUUGCACGUUUUCCAAUGUGUUUGGCGAUCUUUAACUGAAGCCCAUAUUUGCGUUCCCCUCGCUAUCCAAUGUUGCAAUUUUGAUGUAUGAAUUGGACGUCGGGGAACAAAAUCU